This 328-nucleotide non-coding RNA is filed under the name Escherichia coli. Its description in RNAcentral is "partial 23S ribosomal RNA". It matches the Rfam family "Bacterial large subunit ribosomal RNA", at positions 1 to 365 of the family's 2925-position model. The record is from RNAcentral. Lineage: Bacteria; Pseudomonadati; Pseudomonadota; Gammaproteobacteria; Enterobacterales; Enterobacteriaceae. RNAcentral also lists the same sequence under 1 other name.
GGUUAAGCGACUAAGCGUACACGGUGGAUGCCCUGGCAGUCAGAGGCGAUGAAGGACGUGCUAAUCUGCGAUAAGCGUCGGUAAGGUGAUAUGAACCGUUAUAACCGGCGAUUUCCGAAUGGGGAAACCCAGUGUGUUUCGACACACUAUCAUUAACUGAAUCCAUAGGUUAAUGAGGCGAACCGGGGGAACUGAAACAUCUAAGUACCCCGAGGAAAAGAAAUCAACCGAGAUUCCCCCAGUAGCGGCGAGCGAACGGGGAGGAGCCCAGAGCCUGAAUCAGUGUGUGUGUUAGUGGAAGCGUCUGGAAAGGCGCGCGAUACAGGGU